GCGGCGGCGGCGGCGCGCCGUCGGCGGGGCCCGAGCUGCUGUCGCCGGCCGCGGCGGCUGCGGCGAGCGCGGCCAUGGACGCCGCUGCCGAGCUCGCGGCGCCCUUGGCGGACUUGCUCUUGCGGUCCAUGGCGGCGCCGGCGGCGAGGGAGGAGGCCGGCCUGGGCGAUCGAGGUGCGGCCCGGGAGCUGGCGAUGUGGAGCUGGAGCUCUGGUGCCGUGCCUCUCAUGAGUGGAAG
Molecule: long non-coding RNA, 238 nt
Filed under: Zea mays
Lineage: Eukaryota; Viridiplantae; Streptophyta; Magnoliopsida; Poales; Poaceae
Description: drought responsive lncRNA
Source: RNAcentral